RNAcentral lists this ribosomal RNA (252 nucleotides) under uncultured Bacteroidales bacterium. Its description in RNAcentral is "partial 16S ribosomal RNA". It matches the Rfam family "Bacterial small subunit ribosomal RNA", at positions 524 to 776 of the family's 1533-position model. The record is from RNAcentral. Lineage: Bacteria; Pseudomonadati; Bacteroidota; Bacteroidia; Bacteroidales.
UACGGAGGAUGCGAGCGUUAUCCGGAUUUAUUGGGUUUAAAGGGUGCGUAGGCGGUCCGUUAAGUCAGCGGUAAAAUUGCGGGGCUCAACCCCGUACUGCCGUUGAAACUGCAUCCCUUGAGUGCGCGAGAAGUAUGCGGAAUGCGUGGUGUAGCGGUGAAAUGCAUAGAUAUCACGCAGAACUCCGAUUGCGAAGGCAGCAUACCGGCGCGCAACUGACGCUCAUGCACGAAAGCGUGGGGAGCAAACAGG